CUUCCUCUUCGGGCUGCGGGAGUAGACGGCGGCGGAUCAUCGACGACGAUGAUAAAGAAGAAGAAGGAGGAGGAGAUGAGGAUACGAAGAAGAAGAAGAAGGAGGAGGAGGCGGCGGAGGCCGGAGGAGCUCAAAGGCAAGGGUGUUCACGGUGAGAUUGGAGAGGUCGUCGACGGCGGAGGAGAGGCGGGAGGCGGCUAUGGCGACGACGCAACACCGAGCGCAGAAGCAUCGCGCGAUGGCGGAAGAUACGACGGAGAGGAGGCAGUGGAGGUCGGCGUCGGCGGCGCUUCGGCGAGGUCAGGGUAGGGUUCGCUAGCGACGAAGAAGAAGGAAAGGGAAGAAGGAGAGGAAGAGGAAGGGAGAAAAAGAAGAGGGAGAGGAAGAGGAAGAGGGUUCGCCGCUGCAUUCCUCCUCGGUGGCGACGAAGAAGAGGGAAGAGAAAAGGAAGAGGAAAAAGAAGGGGGUAAAAUUGUCAUUUCACUUAUUA
RNAcentral lists this long non-coding RNA (490 nucleotides) under Ananas comosus (pineapple). Its description in RNAcentral is "long non-coding RNA (ACOM_LNC034542)". The record is from RNAcentral. Lineage: Eukaryota; Viridiplantae; Streptophyta; Magnoliopsida; Poales; Bromeliaceae.